UUGCAUACCCGGAAGUAAAAAUCCCAUUCAUUUUCUCCAUAGCCAUAGCGGAUUAUUAUCAUGGACCUAUUCUAAGAGAUUAUUAGCCCUAAUUUCAUCACCAUCUAAGGGAGACUUAUAUGACUUGAUACAAGGUACUGUACAUGACACAAGUUUGCAUGGUAUCAACCUCGUUUUAAGAAAAACAUAGUUUAUUGGCGAUCUCUGGAAGAAGAACUACACUACCCAUGAUCCUUGAGCGUCACACCGACGUCUCUGAUUGGUGGAGCACGGCGUCGUGACGUCGUCACUGAAACGUUUCCCGCUCGCGCGAAAAGUGAGCAAGAGAACAAUGAGGUAAGAACCUUAGAAGAAACGCCAUGGACAUGGACUGUGCAAGACAGGUGUGGAGGGAGGUCUGAAGCCAAAAACACAGACAGGCUGUGCUAGCUCACAGAACCAGUGACUCUUCAUUGUCACUCAGGCUCUCCACUGCAGGUUCAGCUGAAGGAGCUGCCUUGAAUGAAUAAGCAGGAUGGAGUUCAGGGUUUGCAAGGACAUCCUGUUCCUGAGUUUGGUCUUCACCACACUCAUCUGGCUGAACACUCUCUCAACUUCAGCAUUUGAGUGUGGCAAAGACCACACAGCCACAGCAGCCAUGGCGAGUUCCUGGAAUGGAUUGAGACCAGCUGCGUCCCUGAACCUCCAAAUCUCACUCCAGAAGCUCAGCGUGUUCUUUUUCUCAGUCCAGACACUGAGGUGGAUGGUACGCCAUUGCUGGACAAUCUUGUCUAUUGCUUCAGGCAGUCUCAUCCUCAGCUCAUUGGUGAGGGAGAUAGUGAAGGCGACACACCGUUUUCUGACAUUCUGCUCAUCGUCAGGCGCAAGGUGGAGCUCAGCUGCAUUUGAAUCAAAAAGGAAACCGAGGUAUGGAACAGGACUUAGGUAUCCAUCGAGAGGCCCUUUCAAGACAUCCACCUUUGCCAGUGGAUUCAGGACCCUGCUGCUCACAGACUUAAUGAGGCUCACCAAGCUGUCAAGUAGCUUGAGAGGAUCGACCUGCUCUCCCUCAAACGCUUUCAUGGCCAACUGUACCUCUCCCAGCACUGACUUCAGAAAGGUCAAGUAUAGCACAUUUUGAGGAUCACUGUACAUGGAGUAUAACACCUCAGCCAUGUAGCAGUGCUCACUUGACUUGGUGACCUCAAAAUGCAGCUUGAGCUCCUCCCAUUGGUCCAAAAUGCGUGAGACUGCGGGCUCAAUAGAGAGCCAACGUGUGGCACACACCUUUGUGAUCUGUAAUGGUUUCUCCCCACAGUUAAUGGUCUCAUAAAUGGCCUUGUAUGCCUCCCUGCGUUUGGGAGACACUGAAAACCAUUUAUAUGUCUCCCUUACAAGGUACUCCACACUGCGUGGGAUCGUCUCAUUCGAUGCAUGGGUGACAGCAAGCUGCAGGGAGUGACACAUAACGGAUGAGGACCAGAUCUUUAAGGCCAUACUCAUGUUUGAGCACUGCAUGGACCCCAUUAUUUAUCCCUGUCAUUACAGAGGCAUUGUCAGUCCCUAUCCCAAGGAGCUUCUCUUUAACAAGAGAGCACUUAUCUAAAAAAGCCACCACAGCACGGGCAAUAGAAUGUGCAUCUCCUCCCUCCAGCUCAACAAGCCCCAGAAAUGUAGAUACCACUGUCCCUUUAGUUUCACUAAAGUAUCUGAUGACAACACCCAGGUACUUAGACACACUGAUGUCUGUGGCCUCAUCGAGGAGGAGGCUAAAAUGCUGCUCACCCACAUCUGCCAUCAACUUUUUCAAGAAGUAAGGUGCUAGGACACCAUUGAUCAUUUCAGUGCACUUAGUCCUGUGCAUUCUGAAAUGCGUAGCAGCAGCGGAGUCAGAAAAGGCUGACCUACAUGCUUCCCCAAUGUGGUCACAUGCUAGGAGGGAACAGUGUUCAGCAAUGGCUAAUGCUAUGGUAGCCUCAGCCUUUUUGGAGCUAUCAAUUUUGCCUACCAUAAAUGGCAGCGUUGUUUGUGCUGCUAAGUUAUAAGGCUUUGCCUUUUGAAUGUGUUUUAGGGUUGUACUGUGUUUCUUCACAUCACUGAUUUUAGCAUAGAAAUCCACUUUGCAGUAAUGGCAGUAUGCUCGUCCAAUAUCUCCAAUAAAUGGCUUUAACCAUCCCUUAAAA
Hypomesus transpacificus is the source of this 2162-nucleotide long non-coding RNA. RefSeq lists it as uncharacterized. The transcript has 4 exons. The record is from RefSeq and is a predicted model, not a curated record. Lineage: Eukaryota; Metazoa; Chordata; Actinopteri; Osmeriformes; Osmeridae.